ACCUACCUAGCUCAGUUGGUAGAGCAUCUGACUAUUGAUCUCAGGGUUCUGAGUUUGACCCCCAUGGUGGGUA
Molecule: transfer RNA, 73 nt
Filed under: Mustela putorius furo (domestic ferret)
Lineage: Eukaryota; Metazoa; Chordata; Mammalia; Carnivora; Mustelidae
Rfam family: tRNA
About the family: Transfer RNA (tRNA) molecules are approximately 80 nucleotides in length. Their secondary structure includes four short double-helical elements and three loops (D, anti-codon, and T loops). Further hydrogen bonds mediate the characteristic L-shaped molecular structure. tRNAs have two regions of fundamental functional importance: the anti-codon, which is responsible for specific mRNA codon recognition, and the 3' end, to which the tRNAs corresponding amino acid is attached (by aminoacyl-tRNA synthetases). tRNAs cope with the degeneracy of the genetic code in two manners: having more than one tRNA (with a specific anti-codon) for a particular amino acid; and 'wobble' base-pairing, i.e. permitting non-standard base-pairing at the 3rd anti-codon position.
Source: Rfam by way of RNAcentral